Molecule: transfer RNA, 89 nt
Filed under: Cronartium ribicola 11-2
Lineage: Eukaryota; Fungi; Basidiomycota; Pucciniomycetes; Pucciniales; Coleosporiaceae
Description: tRNA-Und (NNN) (tRNA-Und-NNN-52-1)
Rfam family: tRNA
About the family: Transfer RNA (tRNA) molecules are approximately 80 nucleotides in length. Their secondary structure includes four short double-helical elements and three loops (D, anti-codon, and T loops).
Source: RNAcentral
GACUGGAUAGCCUGGCGGUAAAGGCAUCACAGUGACAUUGGGUCUUGACUUACAAGCUGAGGGCCCAGGUUCAAAUCCUGGUCUAGUCA